CAGCAGCGCGGGAACACGUAGGGUGCAAGCGUUAAUCGGAAUUACUGGGCGUAAAGCGUGCGCAGGCGGUUUGUUAAGACAGAUGUGAAAUCCCCGGGCUCAACCUGGGAACUGCAUUUGUGACUGGCAAGCUAGAGUGUGGCAGAGGGGGGUGGAAUUCCGCGUGUAGCAGUGAAAUGCGUAGAUACGCGGAGGAACACCGAUGGCGAAGGCAGCCCCCUGGGCCAACACUGACGCUCAUGCACGAAAGCGUGGGGAGCAAACAGGAUUAGAUACCCCCGUAGUCCCUGUCUCUUAUACA
This 301-nucleotide ribosomal RNA is filed under the name uncultured bacterium. Its description in RNAcentral is "partial 16S ribosomal RNA". It matches the Rfam family "Bacterial small subunit ribosomal RNA", at positions 509 to 808 of the family's 1533-position model. The record is from RNAcentral.